UACGAAGGGGGCUAGCGUUGUUCGGAAUUACUGGGCGUAAAGGGCGCGUAGGCGGUCCCUCAAGUCAGGCGUGAAAGCCCCGGGCUCAACCUGGGAACCGCGCUUGAGACUGAUGGGCUAGAGUUCGGGAGAGGAUGGUGGAAUUCCCAGUGUAGAGGUGAAAUUCGUAGAUAUUCGCAAGAACACCAGUGGCGAAGGCGGCUUACUGGUCCGGUUCUGACGCUGAGGCGCGAAAGCGUGGGUAGCAAACAGG
Molecule: ribosomal RNA, 253 nt
Filed under: uncultured bacterium
Lineage: Bacteria
Description: partial 16S ribosomal RNA
Rfam family: Bacterial small subunit ribosomal RNA
Source: RNAcentral